Molecule: unclassified non-coding RNA, 346 nt
Filed under: soil metagenome
Description: partial contains 5.8S ribosomal RNA, internal transcribed spacer 2, and large subunit ribosomal RNA
Rfam family: 5.8S ribosomal RNA (bases 1-120)
Source: RNAcentral
GAUGAAGAACGCAGCGAAAUGCGAUAAGUAAUGUGAAUUGCAGAAUUCCGUGAAUCAUCGAAUCUUUGAACGCACAUUGCGCCCCCUGGUAUUCCGGGGGGCAUGCCUGUCCGAGCGUCAUUGCUGCCCUCAAGCACGGCUUGUGUGUUGGGCCCCCGUCCCCCCCUCCCGGGGGACGGGCCCGAAAGGCAGCGGCGGCACCGCGUCCGGUCCUCGAGCGUAUGGGGCUUUGUCACCCGCUCUGUAGGCCCGGCCGGCGCUUGCCGACACAUCAAUCUUUUUUCCAGGUUGACCUCGGAUCAGGUAGGGAUACCCGCUGAACUUAAGCAUAUCAAUAAGCGGAGGA